Molecule: long non-coding RNA, 648 nt
Organism: Corythoichthys intestinalis (scribbled pipefish)
Lineage: Eukaryota; Metazoa; Chordata; Actinopteri; Syngnathiformes; Syngnathidae
Exons: 3
Source: RefSeq, a predicted model, not a curated record
GUGAACACACAACCUGGAAAGCUUAUCUACAGAAAAGAUAAAUAGCAAGACCAACGCGUGGAGCGACAAAACGCGGCCCAACUGUGUUCAAAACACGGUGUGAGAGAUCGGUCAGGUUUUUUUUUUCCCCUUAGACCUUGUUUCAACUGGUCUUUGUGUCAGAUUGGAUAUUGGACCAACUGUUCUGGAUUUUGAUGGCGAGCUAACCACUUGGAUCUAGAUUGAGAUAACCUGGAUACCUCUUUGCUGCAUUCUCUUGGUGUGGUAGGACAAAAAACAAACAAACUUGGAGCUAAUACCUCACCAUUCAGCAUUACGCUGUGCCUUACAUUGACAGGACUUUGACCAUUUUUUUAAAUGGACUUCUUUUGAUUAAUAUCCCGGGAACUGUGAACUGAAUAUCUUUUUGUUAGGACAAUUUUGACUGAACAAUUGCACAUGUGUAAUUUUGCAUAAGGAUUUGAAACAAUUUCCCAUGCUGAAGAAAAAAAAGUAUUUGAACUUUGAUUGUGCCACUAUUUUUGGGGCAAUAGAUUGAAAAUCAGAAAUUCCAGUUAGACUAAAAGGUACUGCCUAAAUAUUCUAACUUUGGAAGGGUGCACCCAAACCAACCCAAAAUCGAAAAUAUUGACUUAAUUAAUUGGCCAA